UUUCUGUGUUCGAUUAACUGUGUUUAUUGUGUUUUAGGUGGAUCCAGUCAGACAGCAGUCAGAACUUCACCACAAAUCAACCAGUCAACCAGCCUGAAACUGUUGAAUACGACUCUCUUCUCCACGGUUCUGUUGAUGUCUAUGAGACCAUCAGACCCUCUGGAGAUACUGCAACUGGCAAUCAUCGCGGACCAGAGGUGGACCCUGAUUACGUUAAUAUGAGGACAAGAACUGCAGACCCCCCUUCCAGACCAUGACAAUAUCAUCCAACCAGAAUAAAGGAGAACAAAAAAAUACAGAAAAAAAGUAUGUAAGUUUAUAUUCACCUGAGGGUCCAAAUAUGUUUAUUUGGAAAAAAAUAUAUACCAAAAAAGCACAGUUUGUUGACCAAAUGUGGUUUCAGAAAUGUUUCACUCAGACAACACAGUAACAUAUUUCUGGUUAAGUUGUGAGUUGUGACAUUAUAGCUAAAUAUUUCCCAUGAAUCAUUCAAGAUUAUUUUAUAGUCAUUGAGCAUUCAGCGUCCCAGCACAACAAAAUUUCAUUCCAGUCAAAAAACAACAAAAACAUCCAAACAAACAAUACAAGACAAGGGUAGACAGGUGCCUGGGGCUUCAGACAUGGGGAGGCGCCGAAUCAUCUCUUCAUUGACAGAAAAAAAUAAUCCUGCAGCAACUGAUGCAGCAGUUUAUUCUGCAGCUGGAUCAGCAACAUCUCUGGAUCAUCACGCUGCCGUGUAGGCUGCAUCCCUGCUGCUUUAAUCUGUGAUAUAUAAGACUGAUUUAUACAUAUAUUAUUAUUAUUAUUAUUAUUAAUAAUGAUAGUUCACUUUAAUUUAUUGUAUGUACAGUCCCAUUUAAACUUAAUUCUCAGUCUUAUCACAAAACACCAGCUUCACAUUUACUACUAUUGAGCUAAUUUUUAAUAACUUUUUAGUUUUAGUUACAUUUGAAUGUGUUUUUUUGUUUUAAAAUGCAGAAACAGACAAAAGUGUGAAAUAUGUGAUCUCUUGUGUCCGAUAGUUUAGUUUUAAAGUCAGCAUCUUUUGUUUCUUUUGUGUGAACUUUGUUUUUACUUGUAUGAUGAAUUAUAAAAGUCAUUUUGUAUUUUUCAUGUUUAUUCUCUUAAGUGUUUUAUGUAUUCUUUAACUUUGUUUUAGCAGUCAGUUUUUGUAUUAUUCAUUUUUUACAUGUUGUGUUUGCAUUUCAGUUUCACAUUUGUCAAAUUUUAAUAAAAGAUCAAGAAGUCUACAAA
Molecule: long non-coding RNA, 1254 nt
Organism: Cololabis saira (Pacific saury)
Lineage: Eukaryota; Metazoa; Chordata; Actinopteri; Beloniformes; Belonidae
Exons: 4
Source: RefSeq, a predicted model, not a curated record